RNAcentral lists this ribosomal RNA (511 nucleotides) under Bacillus amyloliquefaciens. Its description in RNAcentral is "bacterial SSU rRNA". It matches the Rfam family "Bacterial small subunit ribosomal RNA", at positions 993 to 1504 of the family's 1533-position model. The record is from RNAcentral. Lineage: Bacteria; Bacillati; Bacillota; Bacilli; Caryophanales; Bacillaceae.
GACAAUCCUAGAGAUAGGACGUCCCCUUCGGGGGCAGAGUGACAGGUGGUGCAUGGUUUUCGUCAGCUCGUGUCGUGAGAUGUUGGGUUAAGUCCCGCAACGAGCGCAACCCUUGAUCUUAGUUGCCAGCAUUCAGUUGGGCACUUUAAGGUGACUGCCGGUGACAAACCGGAGGAAGGUGGGGAUGACGUCAAAUCAUCAUGCCCCUUAUGACCUGGGCUACACACGUGCUACAAUGGGCAGAACAAAGGGCAGCGAAACCGCGAGGUUAAGCCAAUCCCACAAAUCUGUUCUCAGUUCGGAUCGCAGUCUGCAACUCGACUGCGUGAAGCUGGAAUCGCUAGUAAUCGCGGAUCAGCAUGCCGCGGUGAAUACGUUCCCGGGCCUUGUACACACCGCCCGUCACACCACGAGAGUUUGUAACACCCGAAGUCGGUGAGGUAACCUUUUUGGAGCCAGCCGCCGAAGGUGGGACAGAUGAUUGGGGUGAAGUCGUAACAAGGUAGCCGUU